Molecule: long non-coding RNA, 1042 nt
Organism: Cucumis melo (muskmelon)
Lineage: Eukaryota; Viridiplantae; Streptophyta; Magnoliopsida; Cucurbitales; Cucurbitaceae
Exons: 2
Source: RefSeq, a predicted model, not a curated record
UUGGGAAUGAGAAUGAGAAAGAAAAAUGAAGAGACAAAUCAAAAGGGAAAAAAAUGGAAAACAAGAGUGGCAAGAAUAAAAAGUGGUUUUUUUUUUACCAAUUAAAGAAAAAUGUUAGAAAAGCUUAUUUUGAGAAAUUUUCGGUCAUAUCAAGAUUUUUGGUGCAACACUUUUCUCAAGGUCUUGAUUGCAAGAUUAAAAAUGUUAAAAUCAGUCUUACAAACACUUUCUCUCGAUGGUUUUAUGUCGAUGUUGCUAACACUUUCUUACAAAAAUGUCUUCUUGCUCUGUUCUGCAGACUCUGCCUUCCACUAAAUUUCUCCGCAACCAAACAGAAAAAAUCUCACCAAAAAUCCCCAAAAACUCGAUCAAAUAUUACCCGCUUAACUCUUCUUCAUCUUCCACCACAAACCAAAACCAGCAUUUCACUUGCCGUAAAAACUACCCGACCCUUUUCGAACCCGAAUCCAGGAGGGGAUCUGCUGCCGUGGAGAAAGGGAAGGAGACGGCGCAUUCAAACGAGGGAUUUGUUUACAAUUUGGGGGAUUUUGCAGCUUUUGAGAAGAUACGCAGUUGCAAAUCCCUGAUUUGGAGCUGAUGUUUGACUGUGAUGAUCGGCCGGUCGUUAAAUCAGCCGAUUACCCGAAUACGGCAGUGGAUACGGUGGGGCCGGCGCCGGUGUUCCGGUAUUGCGGGGAUGAGGAGGCUUUGGAUAUAGUGUUCCCGGAUUGGUCCUUCUGGGGAUGGACCUUAUAAUUUCAAUUUAGUGGCCCCCCAUACGUGUUGAAAUAAUAUUGGAGGAGAAGGGAACACACUUAGUUGGCGGUGGGACCAUUUUGUUGACGUGGGGUCUUAUUGCCAGAUGGCAAGAGGAGACCACCUAAACUUUGCCACGUUCGACAGCUGGCAUUAUUUAAACCUGGAUAGAUCGCCGUGUCAAUUAAUUUGUUGUAAUUUAUUUUAUAAAGACAAAGCUAUAUUAUUUUUCUGUCCUCCCUUCUUUCCGGAAAAUAAAUUAGUUUUUUUUUUUUUAAAAAAAGAA